Molecule: transfer RNA, 58 nt
Filed under: Apaloderma vittatum (bar-tailed trogon)
Lineage: Eukaryota; Metazoa; Chordata; Aves; Trogoniformes; Trogonidae
Rfam family: tRNA
About the family: Transfer RNA (tRNA) molecules are approximately 80 nucleotides in length. Their secondary structure includes four short double-helical elements and three loops (D, anti-codon, and T loops).
Source: Rfam by way of RNAcentral
UAGCUCAGUUGGUUGAGCAUGGUGCUGAUAACACCAAGGUCGCGGGUUCGAUCCCUGU